GGACCUAUGGUCUAGCCGGUCAUGACGUCGCCUUUACACGGCGAAGAUCGUGAGUUCGAAUCUCACUGGGUCCA
Molecule: transfer RNA, 74 nt
Filed under: Methanomicrobium mobile
Lineage: Archaea; Methanobacteriati; Methanobacteriota; Methanomicrobia; Methanomicrobiales; Methanomicrobiaceae
Also listed under: 1 other name
Rfam family: tRNA
About the family: Transfer RNA (tRNA) molecules are approximately 80 nucleotides in length.
Source: RNAcentral